Molecule: long non-coding RNA, 234 nt
Filed under: Ananas comosus (pineapple)
Lineage: Eukaryota; Viridiplantae; Streptophyta; Magnoliopsida; Poales; Bromeliaceae
Description: long non-coding RNA (ACOM_LNC024976)
Source: RNAcentral
AGAGCUGGCAUUUCAGCUUGUUGUUUGCUAGUCGACUCAUAUUCGACUUAAAAUGGACUUGAGAUGAAAUCAUUCGUUUAAUAAGUAAGUCGGAUACGAGCUGAAUUUUUCAGCUAGAUAUCUUAAUGAGCCAAUAAUAAGCCAGAGUCAGCUCACUUGUUUUUCGACACUAUAUAGCUCGAAUAGAUAUACUUUAUGCUUACAUAGGUUAAUUUGCUUAUGAAUUGAUUUGUU